RNAcentral lists this unclassified non-coding RNA (252 nucleotides) under Ascomycota sp. RNAcentral's name for it is "partial contains 5.8S ribosomal RNA, internal transcribed spacer 2, and large subunit ribosomal RNA". The record is from RNAcentral. Lineage: Eukaryota; Fungi; Ascomycota.
CGCACAUUGCGCCCUUCGGUUAUUCCUUAGGGCAUGCCUGUUCGAGCGUCAUUUCAACCUUCAAGCCUGGCUUGGUGUUGGGCGCUGUCCCGCCUCCGCGCGCGGACUCGCCCCAAAUGAAUUGGCAGUCGCACCCUCCGAGCCGCGAGCGCAGCACAAGUCGCGCGGGCGGAACUCUGGGGGGACGGACGCUCCACAAGACCCUUUCUCAGUCUUGACCUCGGAUCAGGUAGGGAUACCCGCUGAACUUAA